GCGGGUAUAGUUUAGUGGUAAAACACUAGUCUUCCAAACUGGUGAUGGGGGUUCGAUUCCCCCUACCCGCU
This 71-nucleotide transfer RNA is filed under the name Amicula sp. isolate GU52X-4 cfCalB7. RNAcentral describes it as "tRNA-Gly". It matches the Rfam family "tRNA". From Rfam's summary of the family: Transfer RNA (tRNA) molecules are approximately 80 nucleotides in length. The record is from RNAcentral. Lineage: Eukaryota; Bacillariophyta; Bacillariophyceae; Diploneidales; Diploneidaceae.